This 253-nucleotide ribosomal RNA is filed under the name uncultured bacterium. Its description in RNAcentral is "partial 16S ribosomal RNA". It matches the Rfam family "Bacterial small subunit ribosomal RNA", at positions 524 to 776 of the family's 1533-position model. The record is from RNAcentral.
UACGAAGGGGGCUAGCGUUGCUCGGAAUCACUGGGCGUAAAGCGCACGUAGGCGGAUUGCUAAGUCAGGGGUGAAAUCCUGGAGCUCAACUCCAGAACUGCCUUUGAUACUGGCGACCUUGAGUCCGGGAGAGGUGAGUGGAACUGCGAGUGUAGAGGUGAAAUUCGUAGAUAUUCGCAAGAACACCAGUGGCGAAGGCGGCUCACUGGCCCGGUACUGACGCUGAGACGCGAAAGCGUGGGGAGCGAUCCGG